UGAACGCUGGCGGCGUGCUUAACACAUGCAAGUCGCACGAGAACGCUUCAGCUUGCUGAAGUAAGUAAAGUGGCGCACGGGUGAGUAACGCGUGGGUAAUCUACCCUUGAAUUGGGGAUAACAUUGCGAAAGUGAUGCUAAUACCGAAUGAUAUCCUGAGAAUCUUGGUUUUCAGGAUCAAAGGUGGCCUCUACAUGUAAGCUAUUGUUUGGGGAUGAGCCCGCGUACCAUUAGCUUGUUGGUAGGGUAAUGGCCUACCAAGGCUACGAUGGUUAGCUGGUCUGAGAGGAUGAUCAGCCACACUGGAACUGACACACGGUCCAGACUCCUACGGGAGGCAGCAGUGAGGAAUUUUGCGCAAUGGGGGAAACCCUGACGCAGCAACGCCGCGUGAGUGAUGAAGGCUUUCGGGUCGUAAAGCUCUGUCAAGUGGGAAGAAACCACAUGGUGUUAAUACCGCCAUGUGCUGACGGUACCACUGAAGGAAGCACCGGCUAACUCC
Molecule: ribosomal RNA, 502 nt
Filed under: uncultured bacterium
Lineage: Bacteria
Description: bacterial SSU rRNA
Rfam family: Bacterial small subunit ribosomal RNA
Source: RNAcentral